UUUUAUUAACAAAAAUUUUAAAAAAUUAAAUUCUAACUAAAUUGCUAUUAGAUUUAGUAAAAUUCUUAAAUUAUUUGAAUGAAAUAAUGCAAAUAAAAUAAUUAGAAGUUAAGCGAGUGUAAAUUAAAGAAAUAAAUUUAAUAUUUUUUAACAUUAAUUAUCUAAUCACUAAAUUUUUUUAUUAAAAAUUUGAGUAGUUAAAAUUUUAUUUAUCUGCUAAACUUUUUAUUUGUA
Molecule: long non-coding RNA, 234 nt
Filed under: Ananas comosus (pineapple)
Lineage: Eukaryota; Viridiplantae; Streptophyta; Magnoliopsida; Poales; Bromeliaceae
Description: long non-coding RNA (ACOM_LNC044101)
Source: RNAcentral